This 631-nucleotide ribosomal RNA is filed under the name Pleurotus sp. PHZAU11. RNAcentral's name for it is "eukaryotic LSU rRNA". The stretch from base 245 to 398 matches the Rfam family "5.8S ribosomal RNA". The record is from RNAcentral. Lineage: Eukaryota; Fungi; Basidiomycota; Agaricomycetes; Agaricales; Pleurotaceae.
AAGGAUCAUUAAUGAAUUCACUAUGGAGUUGUUGCUGGCCUCUAGGGGCAUGUGCACGCUUCACUAGUCUUUCAACCACCUGUGAACUUUUGAUAGAUCUGUGAAGUCGUCCUUCAAGUCGUCAGACUUGGUUUGCUGGGAUUUAAACGUCUCGGUGUGACAACGCAGUCUAUUUACUUAACACACCCCAAAUGUAUGUCUACGAAUGUCAUUUAAUGGGCCUUGUGCCUAUAAACCAUAAUACAACUUUCAACAACGGAUCUCUUGGCUCUCGCAUCGAUGAAGAACGCAGCGAAAUGCGAUAAGUAAUGUGAAUUGCAGAAUUCAGUGAAUCAUCGAAUCUUUGAACGCACCUUGCGCCCCUUGGUAUUCCGAGGGGCAUGCCUGUUUGAGUGUCAUUAAAUUCUCAAACUCACAUUUAUUUGUGAUGUUUGGAUUGGUUGGGGGUUGCUGGCUGUAACAAGUCGGCUCCUCUUAAAUGCAUUAGCAGGACUUCUCAUUGCCUCUGCGCAUGAUGUGAUAAUUAUCACUCAUCAAUAGCACGCAUGAAUAGAGUCCAGCUCUCUAAUCGUCCGCAAGGACAAUUUGACAAUUUGACCUCAAAUCAGGUAGGACUACCCGCUGAACUUAA